This 563-nucleotide ribosomal RNA is filed under the name Fusarium avenaceum. RNAcentral describes it as "eukaryotic LSU rRNA". The stretch from base 195 to 348 matches the Rfam family "5.8S ribosomal RNA". Lineage: Eukaryota; Fungi; Ascomycota; Sordariomycetes; Hypocreales; Nectriaceae. The record is from RNAcentral.
UCGUAACAAGGUCUCCGUUGGUGAACCAGCGGAGGGAUCAUUACCGAGUUUACAACUCCCAAACCCCUGUGAACAUACCUUAAUGUUGCCUCGGCGGAUCAGCCCGCGCCCCGUAAAACGGGACGGCCCGCCAGAGGACCCAAACUCUAAUGUUUCUUAUUGUAACUUCUGAGUAAAACAAACAAAUAAAUCAAAACUUUCAACAACGGAUCUCUUGGUUCUGGCAUCGAUGAAGAACGCAGCAAAAUGCGAUAAGUAAUGUGAAUUGCAGAAUUCAGUGAAUCAUCGAAUCUUUGAACGCACAUUGCGCCCGCUGGUAUUCCGGCGGGCAUGCCUGUUCGAGCGUCAUUUCAACCCUCAAGCCCCCGGGUUUGGUGUUGGGGAUCGGCUCUGCCUUCUGGCGGUGCCGCCCCCGAAAUACAUUGGCGGUCUCGCUGCAGCCUCCAUUGCGUAGUAGCUAACACCUCGCAACUGGAACGCGGCGCGGCCAUGCCGUAAAACCCCAACUUCUGAAUGUUGACCUCGGAUCAGGUAGGAAUACCCGCUGAACUUAAGCAUAUCAA